GGGCGAAUAGCUCAGCUGGGAGAGCAUCGCCCUUACAAGGCGAGGGUCACAGGUUCGAACCCUGUUUCGCCCA
This 73-nucleotide transfer RNA is filed under the name Magnetococcus marinus MC-1. Its description in RNAcentral is "Magnetococcus sp. MC-1 tRNA". It matches the Rfam family "tRNA". From Rfam's summary of the family: Transfer RNA (tRNA) molecules are approximately 80 nucleotides in length. Their secondary structure includes four short double-helical elements and three loops (D, anti-codon, and T loops). Further hydrogen bonds mediate the characteristic L-shaped molecular structure. tRNAs have two regions of fundamental functional importance: the anti-codon, which is responsible for specific mRNA codon recognition, and the 3' end, to which the tRNAs corresponding amino acid is attached (by aminoacyl-tRNA synthetases). tRNAs cope with the degeneracy of the genetic code in two manners: having more than one tRNA (with a specific anti-codon) for a particular amino acid; and 'wobble' base-pairing, i.e. permitting non-standard base-pairing at the 3rd anti-codon position. Lineage: Bacteria; Pseudomonadati; Pseudomonadota; Magnetococcia; Magnetococcales; Magnetococcaceae. The record is from Rfam by way of RNAcentral.